Molecule: ribosomal RNA, 305 nt
Filed under: uncultured bacterium
Lineage: Bacteria
Description: bacterial SSU rRNA
Rfam family: Bacterial small subunit ribosomal RNA
Source: RNAcentral
CCCUACGGGGCGCAGCAGUAGGGAAUCUUUCACAAUGGGCGAAAGCCUGAUGGAGCAACGCCGCGUGGGUGAAGAAGGUCUUCGGAUCGUAAAACCCUGUUGUUAGAGAAGAAAGUGCGUGAGAGUAGCUGUUCACGUUUCGACGGUAUCUAACCAGAAAGCCACGGCUAACUACGUGCCAGCAGCCGCGGUAAUACGUAGGUGGCAAGCGUUAUCCGGAUUUAUUGGGCGUAAAGGGAACGCAGGCGGGCUUUUAAGUCUGAUGAGAAAGCCUUCGGCUUAACCGGAGUAGUGCAUUGGAAACU